UUCCUGUCCGUCACAUUAGCGCCUUCCCAAAGAUCCAUUACUGAGCGCUUUGACGAUCUCGAGAGAAGCCUUGGACUGAGAGAUGGAGAGAAGUGAAGAUGCCGUUUAUUUGACUGACAGAGAGAGCUGAACAUGACACACACAUGUAUAUGAACGUGUGGAUGUCUGUGUGCGUUUGCUCAAACUGUGUUCCAUGCAGAAUGGAAAAAAGUCUAUUGGAAUUAAUGACAGGUAGAGGAAUUUAGGCCUACUAAACUGCAAAAACUACAAAAACAACACAGUCAUGCAACAGAGGAGUUUAGCCACAGUUACGUCAUUUAUUUGGAUUAAUUAUGCCAAUUUAUUCUGAUAUGUAGAACACUGUCAACACAGUUAACAAUCAGCAAAAACAUUUGCCUUGCAGCACCACAGAAUGUCUAUUGCAUUUUUUUUUAGAAUAAUUUGGGGUGAAUUAGUGUUCAUCCACGUUCAAUUAUUGAAAGAAAGUUCAAAUUUUUGAGGGUUUUUUUUUCAGCAAGGAUGCAUUAAAUGGAUCAAAAGUGACAGUAAAGACAUUUAAAAAUAUCUAUAUUUCAAAUAAAUGCUGCUCUUUUGAACUUUCUACUCAUCAAAGAAUCCUGAUAAAAAAGGUUUCCACAAAAAUAUGAAGCAGCACUGUUUUUGACAUUGAUAAUGAUAAGACAUGUUUCUUGAGCAGCAAAUCAGCAUAUUAAUGAUUUCUGAAGGAUCAUGUGACACUGAAGACUAAAGUUAUGAUGCUGAAAAUUCAGCUUUGCAUCACAGGAAUAAAUUACAUUUUACAAUAUAUUAAAAUAAAAAACAGCUAUUAUAUUGUAAUAAUAUUUCACAAUUUCAUUUUUUCAUUUCUUUUUGGUUGGAUCAAAUAAAUGAAGCCUUGGUGAUUAAAUAUUUUAAAAAAUCUUACCAACCUGAAUGGUAAUGUACGUAUUCGAAUUCUACUUUAAAUGUAAAAUAUUACUCUGCAUCCUGUUUGCAACUUCAAUUCAGGUCCAAUUCAGUCCUGAAUUCUGCAUGAGUCUCAUGAGCAUGUGGAUGUCUUAUCUACUCCACACUCCAUCUGCUUCAUCUCUGAAAGCAGAAACCAGACCAAAGGACCUCCAAAGCCUGCAGGGGUGUGAUGGAUGUCUAGCAGUUGUCGGGUCCUGUACCCCCAAAUCAGGUAAGUUCAACUUUGGACAAAAAAAAAUUAUAUUACCCCCCAAAAAAGUCAAUAUACCACAAAUAACUAAAUAAAAAAAUAAACAAAUAAAAAGUGUAGAAUAAUAGCAUUUUUCAUGACAGUUUCCAUGUUUUUGCAUAAUUGUAAUGACUAUCAAUUCACUUUUUUAGAAAGCAAAAUACUGUCUGAAAUUCUCGUCCAUUAAUGUGUGCAUGUAAAGAAGAACUGUACCAUCAUUGAUUUCAUAUCAUGCCUGAUCUGUCAGCAUCAGGCUGGCUGCUAAAGCAGAUGUAGCUGAGUAAAUAAUUCAUUAGAUAUUUAGAUGAGUGUUUGGCCUGAUUAUCCACAGACUCCAGGGAUAGAUGUGACUGAGGAUCCUUGAGUGGACUCUCUCUGGAUAAGACUGAGACUGUUAAUUUUGGCUCUGAUUUUUUUGCCUUUGGGUUUUGUUUCUUUCAGCCAAUAGCCUUCAGAGUGUCAGACUUGAUGAGAAACCCUGUUUCCAUAGGCACAUAAUUUAUACUUUUUGCCAAUAAAAGAGAGUAUUUAGACUCCCAAAUUGGUUUGUCAUAGUAAGUACCUUGUGAUAUAUUUAUAUAAUAUAUUUAUUGUAAAAAAUGUAUUUAUUGUAAAAAUAUUUAUUUUAAACAAACUUUUAUUCUCGAUGCAGUUAAUCACGAUUAAUCACAUUCAAAUUAAUUUUAUUUUUAAUGUAUAUUUUGUUUACAUAAUCUGUGUGUGAACUAUAUAUUUAUAUGUAUAUAUGAAUACAAUGCGUGUGUUUGUGUGUGUGUGUGUGUGUGUGUGUAUUCUAAUUACAUAUUUAAUUUUAUAUAUUAUACAGUGUGUGUGUGUGUGUAUAUAUAAAAUAUUUUCAUUAUUAUACAUUGUGUUAUGCUGCUGUCAUAUUACACAUUGUCACACAAUUUGUAAUGAUUUGCAAUGAAUGACAUUUUAAAUGGCUGGUUCUAUCUGUGAAUAAACCAUCAUGAUAUAUAGUAGCCAUCUAUCAGUCAACUAAGAGCCCCACUGUAAAUACGUCAUGCAGAGUCAAUAGAUCAGCAUGUUUCUGUCACAGCUGAUUCACAUUGACUGACUGAUAGUCAUAGCGUUUCCCAUUAGUUGACCUCAGGCUGACCUUACAAUUCAUGCUCUCUAACCUGAGUGGUGGCCUCAGUGCUAAUGUUCUCUGACGACGGUGACAGUGUUCACACGUCUGAAGCCGAUCGGUCCUGGUGAGGGCAGGACAGUAAUCUGGACUGGCUGCUGAGAGUUCGGCUGGGCAGGAGUGUGAUUUAUUUCUCACAGGUGUUAUUUUCACCUCUGAUUCCUGUUGUGACCGUUCACUGGCUUGGAUAAUAAAAGUUUUAUAUUUUAUUGACUGUGCAAUUAUUGGCAUUAGCGAUCUCUACAAGUUUAAUAUUUGCAGCAUACUGUAGUAGUAUUUAUUUAAAUAGCCAUAAAAAAGAAGGGCUUAAAGGAAUAGUUCAACUAAAAAUAAAAACUUGAUGAAAAUGUGCUCACCCCCAGGCCAUUCAAAAUGAAUUUGUUUCUUAAUGGGAACAGAUUUGGAGAGCAUUAUAUUAUUUGCUCACUAAUGCAUCCUCCGCAGUGAAUGGGUGCCGUCAGAAUGAGAGUCCAAACAGCUGAUAAAAACAUCACAAUAAUCCAGUAAUCCACACAAUUAAUGUCUUGUGAACUGAAAAGCUGCAUGUUUGUAAGGAAAAAAUCCAUCAUUAAGGCCUUUUACCUUUAAACCAUUUUUCUAAAAUACGAGUCUAUAAUCCAUAAUAACACCUCCAGUAAAAAAAAAAAAAUACAUCCCCUGUUGUCCUCGCACAUCAAAAUCUACCUAAAUGUUUGUUUAGAACUGUUUUGGGCUGUUUUUGCUUAUAAGCAAUGCUUGAUCUGUGCACAUUUCUCUCCUGAUUCAGACAAGAUGACUUUUUCACUGGAGAAAGCAAUAUUAUGGAUAGAGGACUCAUAUUGUAGCUGGAAACAAAUGCUUGAAGUUAAAAACGCCCUGAUGUAUUUGUUUCUUGCAAGCACACAGCUUUUCUCUUUUAUUCUGACAGCACCCAUUCACUUUCCAUGAAAAAACAAACUCAUCUACAUCUUGGAUGGCCUGAGAGGGAGUAUAUUUUUAGCAUAUUUUCAUUUUGGGUUUAACUUCUCUAUUAAUCACUGAACACUUGAUAAAUUUACUGAAAUACACACCAGCCAGAAGUGUGUAUUUGGAUAUAUAGGAAGUCCAGGGACACACACACCAUUCUAACUUCCUUGACACACCCAAAACACAAAUCUCAAGAGACAAGCAGCCCUGGGUGACUUCACACUCACCUUCUUUCUUCUUCUCAGAUGCAUCUGCUCCAAAAUGUUGUGACACACACCAUGUACCAACACAUGCUUAAAUCAGUCUGGAUAAACCUAGAAACACACACAUUUGCUUGCAUGUAUUUGCAAAUACCUCAAAUCACAGAACCUCCAAAUAUUUCAAUGCCACAUAUUUGAACAUAAUAAUUCAGAUUUGGUGAAAACAUGUUAAUGUUUUUCAUAAAGACAUGUGAAAACAUGUACCUUUAAC
Molecule: long non-coding RNA, 3764 nt
Organism: Cyprinus carpio carpio
Lineage: Eukaryota; Metazoa; Chordata; Actinopteri; Cypriniformes; Cyprinidae
Source: Ensembl